UACGGAGGGUGCGAGCGUUGUCCGGAAUCACUGGGCGUAAAGGGCGCGUAGGCGGCUUGGGAAGUCCGUGGUGAAAGCUCGUGGCUCAACUGCGAGUCGGCCAUGGAUACUCCUAAGCUCGAGCACUGUAGAGGCAGGUGGAAUUCCGGGUGUAGCGGUGGAAUGCGUAGAGAUCCGGAAGAACACCGGUGGCGAAGGCGGCCUGCUGGGCAGUAGCUGACGCUGAGGCGCGACAGCGUGGGGAGCAAACAGG
RNAcentral lists this ribosomal RNA (253 nucleotides) under uncultured bacterium. Its description in RNAcentral is "partial 16S ribosomal RNA". It matches the Rfam family "Bacterial small subunit ribosomal RNA", at positions 524 to 776 of the family's 1533-position model. The record is from RNAcentral.